Molecule: ribosomal RNA, 253 nt
Filed under: uncultured bacterium
Lineage: Bacteria
Description: partial 16S ribosomal RNA
Rfam family: Bacterial small subunit ribosomal RNA
Source: RNAcentral
GACGGAAGGUGCAAGCGUUGCUCGGAAUCACUGGGCGUAAAGGGCGCGUAGGCGGCCUGUUAAGUCAGACGUGAAAUCCCCGGGCUCAACCCGGGAACUGCGUCCGAAACUGCCAGGCUUGAAUUCGGGAGAGGGAUGCGGAAUUCCAGGUGUAGCGGUGAAAUGCGUAGAUAUCUGGAGGAACAUCGGUGGCGAAGGCGGCAUCCUGGACCGAUAUUGACGCUGAGGCGCGAAAGCCAGGGGAGCAAACGGG